RNAcentral lists this ribosomal RNA (434 nucleotides) under uncultured bacterium. RNAcentral describes it as "bacterial SSU rRNA". It matches the Rfam family "Bacterial small subunit ribosomal RNA", at positions 29 to 507 of the family's 1533-position model. The record is from RNAcentral.
AACGUACGCUGGCGGCACGCCUAACACAUGCAAGUCGAACGAAGUAGCAAUACUUAGUGGCAGACGGGUGAGUAACAUGUAGGUAUCUGCCCUUUGGCCUGGAAUAACACGAGGAAACUUGUGCUAAUACCGGAUAAGUCUUUACGGAGAAAGCUUUAUGCACCAUUGGAUGAGCCUGCACUUGAUUAGUUUGUUGGUGGGGUAAUGGCCUACCAAGACUGUGAUCAAUAGCUGAUUUGAGAGGAUGAUCAGCCACAUUGGGACUGAGACACGGCCCAAACUCCUACGGGAGGCAGCAGUAGGGAAUCUUGCACAAUGGAGGAAACUCUGAUGCAGCGAUGCCGCGUGAGUGAAGAAGGCCCUUGGGUUGUAAAGCUCUUUCGUCGGGGAAGAAAAUGACUGUACCCGAAUAAGAAGGUCCGGCUAACUUCGUG